This 3537-nucleotide long non-coding RNA is filed under the name Scleropages formosus (Asian bonytongue). Its description in RNAcentral is "lncRNA (ENSSFOG00015026872.1)". Lineage: Eukaryota; Metazoa; Chordata; Actinopteri; Osteoglossiformes; Osteoglossidae. The record is from RNAcentral.
CGCGACCUUUCAGAACUGCGCUUUGGGUCAUUCAGAGUCCGGGAAAGUGUUACACUGGACCGGCGCAAGGACUUUCAAUCCGCGACGGGAUUUCAUGUUGGAUUUUGUGUCUGGCGUCAUUUUCAUUCAUACAUUAUUGAUUAUAUCACGUUUAUCGGACUUGCGCAGGUUAUAGGUUUUGUUACUAAAAUAGUCCUAUAAAUAUGAAGCAAAACUGCAAUGUGCCUGCUUUCCUCAGCAAACUAUGGACAUUAGUUGAGGAUCAUUCAACUAAUGAUCUCAUCUGCUGGAGUCAAAACGGCUGCAGUUUCUUAGUAUGCGACGAGCAGCGCUUCAGCAAGGAAAUCCUACCUCUGUACUUCAAACACAGUAACAUGACCAGCUUUGUGCGGCAGCUCAACAUGUAUGGCUUCCGCAAAGUCGUGCAAGUGGAAGCGGGACUGCCGCGGGGUGACGCAAGAGGAGACUGCGUGGAGUUCCAGCACCUUCACUUUCGGCAGACGCAGCCUCAUUUGCUUGAGCUCAUUCGAAGAAAGGUGUCGCUGAGCCGCAAUGGGGAUGAAGGCGUGCCGCCUCAGAUGUCACAGGUUCUCCUGGAGCUCGGCCAGGUGAGGGGUUGGCAGGACAAGUCUGACUCCAAACUGAUGGCGCUGCGUAGGGAGAAUGAGAGUUUGUGGAGGGAAGUUGACUGCCUGAGACAGAGGUACCAGCAGCACCACAAGAUUAUUCGCAAGAUCAUUCACUUUAUUGCCAGCACCGUCCAGUCCAAUGGGAUAACGGGAUUGAAGAGGAAGCUGCCGCUGAUGAUCGACGGCUCUGGCCUGUCGCACUCUCCGCCCAAAUACAGCCGGACCAUUAGCCUGGACGGCAGCCAGUCGGCCGCAGCCCUGCACGGGGUGCCACACGGAGAUCCUUGGGUGAGAACGCUGGAUCCAUUUGAGGAGCUGGGCUUCUCCAGCGGCAGCGUCUACACAAAUGGGAUGAUCAUCUCUGAUGUUACCGAUCUGCUGGACUUGCAGACGGAGGAGCUGGAUUGCAGCAGGACUAAAGCUGACGACUUGUCUGAGGCCUCUCCUGAAUCCAGGCUCUCCUCUUCAGCCGCACCCACGGUUGAAUUGGACCUCUCUCUCCUGGAGGACCCUGAGCCCGCAGAACCGGGGGAGAAUGCCUUAGACAGGAACGACGCGAGCGACCCGAUGGCUCUGAUCGACUCCAGUCUGGCGGCUAUGCGCUCCGGUUUACCUCUCUCCCCUGGGCCCGGCCUCGAUCUUCUCUCGGAGCUCUUCAACCCUGUGCUCGGCUCUCAAAGCGAAGACGCGAAGCCAGAGGUGCUGAAGGCGAGGCCAGGGCCUGACGCCUGGGCGGAGAAGCAACCGGACACUCAGACAGUUGCUGCUUUGGACUGGGUCACCAGCUGCAGGGAGGAGGAAGAGGAAGAGGAGGUGGAGGAAGGCUCUGACAUACUGCCUUCUUUGCUGCAGCUGGCAGAAGAGGCAUCUGAAUUUGCAUACUGCCCUACGGCGCUGCCUGCCGACCCCCUGCCCCUGGUCUAGCGGGCAGGCUACAAAUCCUUCCCCGAAAGAUACCGUUAUCUGUUUUGUAAUAACAAUGUCGUUGCUACAGCCAUAGUGUACAUCCUUCCUCGAUUCUCAAAGGUUAUUAGGCUUCUCGAAUAGUUGCGUAGUCAAAUUCGUGGGAUUUUCCGCGUGCUGUCGGAAAUGGCGCAAGAACAACAGUUUGAUUAGUUAUUUAUAAAUAGCUUAUUUAAAAUCACAGCAGUCAACUUGGGCAAACGGAAGCAGCCAUAAUGGUGUGAGUUUACGGUUGUUUCGGUUACCGCGCGAGAUGCUGCUCAAAUUUGAAACAUCUCGACUCGACAUGGAACAUUUUAGCAAUCGAACAUUACUACCAGAUUUAGUAAUAAUAAUAACAACAAUAAUAAUAAUGUGCUGGGGAAUACAAAGUUACAAGGAUGCUAUGAGGGACAGUUAUUGGCUAAUUCCAGCUGACAUGUAAUGCAUACUGUAUACAUUACACCUAAGAAUGUAUUUUUUUUUAGAAGGAAACAUUUAGAAAUUAAACAAAAAGGUGACUAGGUACAGAGAAGGAGAAUAUUUAGUCUUGGAGCGCGUUUGGGUUUUUAGCAGCCUGCGUGAUGUUGCUCAGUCCUCCAUAGUGCCUCUUUUUCCACAGACCUGCAGACUCGCAGUAACAGGUGUGCAGUACAGGUGUCUGGAUAUUUUUAGGGGCUUAAAUAUCACAGUUUAAAGGAGCAUGAGGAAAAAAUACACAAUGAACUUGCGGUGCAGUUUAAUUCAAUACUGUGUGGCGUUUUAGUUCAAGUACAUAGUGGAUGUAUAUUCCUCUUAUUUUGGUCAAUAAGUCAUGUUUAUAAACUUUUUAUUAUAUUGUAAAUUAUACGUACAAAAGACCGAUAGUCAUAAUUACUAGAUGAUUUCUGAGUUGUAUAUGGAUGAAUUUGCACUACUCUACUAAUGUAUUUUAAAUGAAUAUUGCACUUUACAUGUAUGUUUGCUGUACAGCGUCAGUUGUUUAUAGUUAAUUUUAAUGGAAUAUCUUUUCACAAGGGUGUCGUUUUCAGAAUAUAUUGUGCUCGUUACCUGUCAUCCAGCUGGUAGAUGCAGAAAAGCUCAAGAAUUAACCAUAGGACACUAAGAACUGUAAAAUACAUAAUCGGAAGUUUGUGCUUGUCGAACCUGUUUCAUUGGCUGAUGUGUUUACUUCCACUCCACAAAAGAACAUAAAAGGCCAUGCAAGUGGAAAUCAUGGAGCUUGUUUCUGCAGCGAUUGCAGAAUAGAUGCCGGAAAAGUGCUUCAGUUAAAAAUCCGGGGUUGCGAAUGUCCACGAGAGCGCUGUCUCUUAUUAAGUUUUGCCUUAAAUAGAAUAUUUUAUUCACGCAGCAGCUUUCAGUUCAAAAUGCCACCGCUGCUGAGAACAGGGACUGCCACUCAUAUCCCAAGUUAACCUUUUUUGUAUUGUGCCCUAUACAGAAAAGCAAACACUUAAGCAAAAAAAAAAAGAUAUGUAGCAAUAGAAGAACAAGACAGUAUUAAAAUCACUUACCAUCUGACAAAGGACUGAAAAUGGGAAAUUUAUUUAGAAAUUCAAAUACCACCAAUGCAGAGCAUCAUAGUGUUAUAUCCACCUUGUAGCCUGGGAAGAGGUUCCAUUUGUGGCACAGUGAGUAGUGCUGCUGUCGGGGACGUGGGUUUGAUCCCCGCUCAGUCUGUGUGGAGCUUGUGUGUUUCUCCCCGUGUCUGCGUGGGUUUCCUCUGGGUGCUCUGGUUUCCUCCCACAGUCCAGAGACAUGCUUUUCAGAUUCACCCACAGGGUGUGUGUGAGUGACAAAGAGUGUUUUUCACUGAUGUAUGGAUGAGUGACCCAGUGUAAGUAGUGCAUCUAGCAGUGUAAGUCACCGUGGUGAAUAAGGUGUGUGGGCUGAUGACACUACAUAGAGUUCGUUGGAAGUGGCUUUGGAGAAGAGUGUCUGCUAAAUAAAUAAAUGUAAAUGAACA